GACGUAGGUCGCAAACGUUAUCCGGAAUUAUUGGGCGUAAAGGGUGCGUAGAUGGUAUGAUAAGUUAGCAGUGGUAAAUCGAGGCUCAACCUCGUGGAAGCUGGUAAUACUGUUAUACUCGAGUGCAGGAGAGGUUAACGGAACUCCAUGUGGAGCGGUAAAAUGCGUAGAUAUAUGGAAGAACAUCAAUAACGGCGAAGGCAGUUAACUAUUCUGCUACUGACAUUGAGGCACGAAAGCGUGGGGAGCAAAAAGG
Molecule: ribosomal RNA, 256 nt
Filed under: uncultured bacterium
Lineage: Bacteria
Description: partial 16S ribosomal RNA
Rfam family: Bacterial small subunit ribosomal RNA
Source: RNAcentral